This 450-nucleotide ribosomal RNA is filed under the name uncultured bacterium. RNAcentral describes it as "bacterial SSU rRNA". It matches the Rfam family "Bacterial small subunit ribosomal RNA", at positions 917 to 1341 of the family's 1533-position model. The record is from RNAcentral.
GGUCUAACACUAGUGGUGGAGCAUGUGGUUUAAUGCGAUAAUCCGCGCAAAACCUUACCAAUUCUUGACAUAUUUAAAUCGCUGUUUUAAUUCAUUUUAGGAAUUAAAAACAGCAUUUCCUUACAGGUGUUGCACGACUGUCGUCAGCUCGUGUCGUGAGAUGUUUGGUUAAGUCCUGAAACGGGCGCAACUCUUACUUUUAAAUAAGUAUUACGUGCUAAAAAGUUUUUAUUUUAAAACUUUUAAAUGCUUUAAAAGUACCGUCAAUGAUAAAUUGAAGGAAGGUAAGAAUGAAGUCAAGUCAAUGUGACCCUAAUGAAUUGGGCUACACAUGUGCUACAAUGAAAAUUACAAAAAGUGACAAAAAGAAAUUUAAGUUAAUCAACAAAGAUUUUCCCAGUUCGAAUUGUAGACUGCAACUCGUCUACAUGAAGUUGGAAUCACUAGUAA